GUGGGGAAUAUUGGACAAUGGGGGCAACCCUGAUCCAGCAAUGCCGCGUGAGUGAUGAAGGCCUUAGGGUUGUAAAGCUCUUUUACCCGGGAUGAUAAUGACAGUACCGGGAGAAUAAGCUCCGGCUAACUCCGUGCCAGCAGCCGCGGUAAUACGGAGGGAGCUAGCGUUGUUCGGAAUUACUGGGCGUAAAGCGCGCGUAGGCGGCUACUCAAGUCAGGGGUGAAAGCCCGGGGCUCAACCCCGGAACUGCCUUUGAAACUAGGUAGCUAGAAUCUUGGAGAGGUCAGUGGAAUUCCGAGUGUAGAGGUGAAAUGCGUAGAUAUAGGAAGGAACACCAGUGGCGAAGGCGACUACCUGGACUGAUACUGACACUGAGGUGCGAAAGCGUGGGGAGCAAACAGGAUUAGAUACCCUUGUAGUCC
Molecule: ribosomal RNA, 425 nt
Filed under: uncultured bacterium
Lineage: Bacteria
Description: partial 16S ribosomal RNA
Rfam family: Bacterial small subunit ribosomal RNA
Source: RNAcentral